This is a long non-coding RNA of Sapajus apella (tufted capuchin), 5128 nucleotides long. RefSeq lists it as uncharacterized. The record is from RefSeq and is a predicted model, not a curated record. The transcript is spliced from 2 exons. Lineage: Eukaryota; Metazoa; Chordata; Mammalia; Primates; Cebidae.
UUUCCAUUUUAAUAACUUCACAUGCUACAUGUUAAGUAUAGGUCCAUAUUACCAAUGGUCACCCAAUUCCCCUUUGCAUCUGUUCCAUGUUGAUUAUGAUGUCAGGAAAGCAAAAGUUAAAUCCCUUUUUAAGGAAGAAAAAAAAUCUAAUUUAAUAACUUUGCAAUCCUGUUGAAAGCAUGAUUAAAUCUUAAUAAGAGUGGAAGGAUGUUGUGUUUCAUGUCUAUCCCUCUUGAAGCCCUGGCAACUUGUUCAGGGAUAUAGACGGGGUUGUCAAAGGACUUCACAGCCCAACCCUGGUCUCAUCUGCCGGCAUCCAAGACGCAGCAGAAAUCUCUGAUGGUGCUGACACUUCUAUUUUCACUUUUCUCAUCCUGGUGUUUUUUCUCAUUAAAGCAGUUUGAUUCUGUAAUUUCUACCAGUACAGAUAAAAAUAAAAUGACUCCCAAUUUUUAUUUUGACCUUAUAAAACCGUGUAAUUGGUUCAGAACCUUCAGGCUAAAUGAGAUUCCUGUGGAUUGAGAACCUUGGACAGAGGAAUCAUAGAGUUAAAAAUAUACCACAUGUCCAGAUAGAAUUAGCUCAUAAACUAAUACUCUAUUUGAAUAUACAGAAACUGAAGUCUAAUGUCAAUCUCAUGAAAGUUUAGUUUCUGAUGUAUUCAUAUUUUUUCUCUUCAAAACAAACAUAACAGCUCAAAGUGCAACAAAAGCCAUCCACCUCAAUUUGCUCUUCUUUUCCUGAAUCUCACGACUCUCAGAGAGUCCUAAUUAGCUACAGAAUUGUGUCCAACCUCCUAAAGGUUGCAUUUGGGACCCGGGGACUGGCUCUUGCCGAAUUCCCUGACCCCACCUGUUACCGCUUCAUCAACCCCUGUAUGCAUUACCAUUCCCCAGACAGCCACACUGGUCUCUAGCUCUGCAUCUUUGUGAGUCUAUUGCUGCCUUUCUGAAAUAUACUCUCCUGCUAAUCUUUCUUCCAAACCCCCACUCCUCCUUUGAGAGUUAGUUCCAGUGUCUCUUCAUCUGAAAAGCCUUUAAUAUCUUCCUCAAUGGUCCUGAGCAGACCCAGAAACCCAGGCCCUCUGUGCUCUCACAUAAUCUUAUGCAAGCCUAUUACAGUUGUCAAAUUAUUGUGCUAUAUUGCAAUGAUCGGCUUACUUGUCUCUUAUCUCUUUUAGGCUGAGCUCAUUGAGGCUGGAGCCACAUCUUUUCAUCUCUAUGUUUCUCUACAUAGCAUCUAGAAAAACACUUGGAAUAUACUAGGCCCUCAGCAUAUGUUUGUGGGCUGUCUCAUAAGAGCCAGACUUACACAGUGUAUAUUGUGUUCCAGGCACAACUCUGAGCAUUAACGCACAUAUACUCUUAUUUACAAACCCCAACACCUGAGAUCCUCUUAUUACCGUUCCUGUGUUAAAGUUGCAGAACCUAGAACACUGUGGGAUAGAGUAACCUGCCUAAGCUCACACAGCUUACAAGUGUCACGAGUAUACAGGGCAGACUCCAGCUCAGUCUGGCUGCAGAGUGCAGGUCCUUAAACACUAUCCCACACCACCCUCAAAGAGGGGCCUCCAUGACAAUGCCUUGCGCUUGGCAGCUCAGAGUCCUCUAGCAAUCUAGAGUUUGCAGUGGCUUCCUGUGUGCUCUAGACUAUGAAGGAUUAGGAGGCUCACUGGGGCUGGCUGAGAAAGAAUGCUUUGAUCAACUAGUCACUCCCAGAAUCAGAGCCACAAAAGAGUACCAGUCCCGGAUUGCUGGGUGAUAGGCCAUACAUAUCUGCUAAGAAAGGGCUUGUCCCCUACACUACCCUCCCAGUUUAAGCAUCCGCAUGCUUUGGACUUUGGAUGAUUCAUAAAUAGUAGAAGCCACAGCUAUGGAUCCUUAUCUGCCAAAUCUCUACCUUAUUAAACAUCGCUGGCCAGGUCAGCUCCAUUCUGGGAAUAAUUUUGCUUAUUAACCUAGAGUCCUGUCUCAAGUGGCCGUUGGGUUAAAGAGCAAAGGAAAUGGAAUAAAAGCACAUAGCCAUGCAUAAAGAGAAUCUGGCGUAUUUAAAUACUUAGUUCUGACAAACCCACAAUUGGAUUUCUGAUCUUUGGAAGCGAGCUCCUACCUGGACCUUCUGAAGCAGGAGCAGAAUUUGAGAGGAUCCAGAAUCCUGACAAACCCUAUCCUGCAGGCCGACCAACAGCACUGCAAGGACAGCAGGUUGCUCAGGGCUGGCAGCAGGAAGCACUUGCCACUGGGAAGCCACACCCCCACCCUGAGAGUCCGCUGGCAGGGGCUGUGGAGUGGGCCUCACCUUCUCAUUACUGCCAUGCUGAGGGGGUAAGGGCUAAUGGACUGCUGGUCCAGGGGGACAGUCUGUAGCUCCGUGCAGCUCUCUCCACAGCAUCCAGUCCUGAACCUGUGACCCCAACUCUGUGAGCAGGGCCAUUACCCACCCUUGAGACUGCCGGCAUUAAGAUCCUCUCAUUACGGGCCAUGCAGAUUGUUCCGGGCGAUAAUGAGGUGGCAAGAGGAGAAGGCAUCCUGGGGGAACUUCUGAGAGCCAAGCCUCCGACAGUAGAUGAGUUCCUAACCUGCCGUUUUAAAAAACAUCUCUCCAAAUUGCCAGGAAUAUUUUUUUCCAGGAAAACUUUGACCCUUCUCUUUGUCUUCCUUUUUAGACUAUGUGCUGAAAGAGGUAGCAUUCCAUAGUCACUCACCCCUUUCUUCCCUUGCAUCUUUGUUUUGAUCUUCAUCUUUCUCUUGCCUCCUUUCUCUCCCUUUUGUUCUCUUUUCCCUUUUACCCCUUUGUUCCUUCUCUUUUUUCCCUUUAUUCUCCUGCCCCUUCACACAGCAUAGCAAUCCAAGCUUUGGAACAAAAUACAUUAUGGGUCCAAAUUCCAGCUCCGCUCUCUGGUAAUUAGGGAUAUGGGCAAGGUUCUCAUUUGCCAGGGGAGCUUCUGUUAUUUAUCUGAAAACUGAAACUCAAAUUUUCAGGAUUUUAAGAUUAUUAAAUGACUUUAUUUAUAGAAAGAGGCCUUUAAGGUACAUGGGCACAUAACUGGCACAGAAUAAAUCCAGGUAUCUUCCUGUAUCCAGCAAGGCUUUAUUGAGUUGAGUCUGUGUCAUAUGUAAAGUCCUGUGGUAGAUAAUGGAAAUAAGUUUUGGUUUCUUCUCUUAAGGAAGUUUCCAAUUUUUAUGCUGAAGAAAAGCCAGGGAAUUUUGGAUUUUCUUAAACUAAAUAAAGAUAAAUACUUUUCCUGGUAUAUAUCAAAUAUCCAAUUAGAUAUAACUAACUUCUUUUCUCAAAGCUAAGCAAACUGAGGCAAAGGACAUCAUGGCAAUUAAAAUGUUCAUAUCGUGCAAACCAUUUAGUUGGGUGAUGUCUUGUCCCUCCCACAGGACACAUUUACAGAAAGAAUUUGUAUUUUGUUGUUGAUUUUAUUUUCUAUUGGUAUUUUUUUUCUAAAGUAGGAUCAUGAACUACUUUAAGGCCCUCUGAAACUAGGAAGGAUGUGAGUAAAGUACAAUGUUUCACCAUUACUUUUAUUUGUAUUUUUAAAAUUACUAGUGAGGUUGAACACAUUUCCAUAUUAGUUUCAGGGUACUUUGCUAGAACUUGUUUUACAAUUUUAAUUGGCUACUGUCCAUCUGGUAUCGUUUCUACUAUGCCAUGAGCUUCCAGAGAACAGAGCCCGAGCAGCACUUGCCUUUGUAUCCUUGGUGUGGUGCGGUAAAUAAAGCAUGUCAGACGGACUGGAGGCUGCAAAACAGAGCUCCUGCCAUGUGUCAGCCACUGGUGCUGGGGACAGAGGGAUGGGAGCUCUCAGAGGUCCACUCUAAGUUCAGUGAUACCUAUAAUUUCUGGGCCACUCACUGAGUGGAGAAGAACUGAUUUGGUUAGAAACUGAGGUUCAAAGCCCAGCUCUGCCACUUACUGGUUGUGUGACCUUUGGCAAAUUCCCUUCAUUUCUUUGAGCCUCAGUUUCCUUAGCUGUAAAAUAAGGACAAGCUCCAAGAUCCCUCCUAAUUCUUAUCAAGACAUAUUUGUAUAAUAUAUACAUAGCCUGAAAAUAAGACUCAAACUUUAGUUGUUUUUGAAAUUCUGUUUUAUUAUGCCCUGGAUUGUGUCAAGCAGUUUCAUCCAAAAGAAAUAUAGUGUGGGCUAUGAAUGCAAGCCACAUAUGUCACUUUAAACUUGCCACUUAGCCACAUUUAAGUAAGUAAAAAUAAACAGGUGAAAUUCAUUUAAAUAAUAUAUAUUUUUAAUCCAAUAUAUCCAAACUAUUAUCAUUUCAACAAGUGGCACUAGCCACAUUUCAGUUGCCCAAUAGCUGCGUGUGGUUGGACAACGUGGUUGGUGUGAAGUGUGGCGCAGGGGAGGUGGGCCUUUUCUGCUGCUGCUGCCCUCUGGUGGAGGUACAGGUGAGUGGCAGCUCACAAAUGGCAGGUGUGGGUGCAAUGAAGCCACCAGUCCAUGUGUCCUACUAAGCUUUGUCAUUGCCCCUUCACUCCUCUCAUUUAAAGCACAGAUGCUAACUUUGAUUUUUUCAACCCAUUCACUUGUUUAUGGCUAAAGAUUCACUAGUGAAGGGAAUCACAUCGAAUCACAGCACAGUAGAAUAUAUAAAAGAUCUUCACGAAGUUCCAUACAUGAGAGAAAUAUGGGCUCCUCUACUGACACUCUCUCAGGCCAGGAACUUCGCUAGGUCAUCUCUUUGACUGAGUUGAAAGUCCAGUCAACAACUGUUUAUCUGGCAUCCAAGGAAAAGGAAACAUAAAUAACCUCAACUAUUUUUGCACUUCUUUCCUAUGAUAAUUAUGCUCAGAGUCAUCCAGCAACCACAUUGAAAGGCUCUGUGGGGCCUUCUGCAUCAUCAGAGAAGGGACUGAUUGAGUUUGUAACUUAUAAUUCUUUCCAAAUUAGAACCAAGUAUAUGACAUAGGUUGUCACCUGCUAGUAAGCAGAAUAUUUGAUUAGCUGGGGAAAUUUAUUUUGGAAUAUAAGAAGGAGCAUGGAUUUUGGAUCCAGACUUAGAUUUGACUCUUAACUAUGUUAUUUGCUAUAUGACCUUGAGUUUGAAAUUUAAUCUCUUUAGAUUUUAGUUUUCUUUUCUGAAAAAUAGAAAUGAUACCUCACUGUG